GCAGUUUCUCCAUCUGUCAAACGUGUCUCUCUUAGGGCUGUGAGGAUUAAAUGAGUCUACACGGAUGCAGCCCCUGGUACCAUAAUGUUCUAUCACACCUUAAAGAAUGGGGCCUCACUUCUCUCAAACCUUCCCUUCCACAUGCCCUGGGUGAGGAGACAUGGAAUCAGUGACUCAAAGGACAAGUGGCACCAUUGCCACUAUCACUCAGGAGGUGAAUUGAUGCAAAAAUAAGACAGAUCAGAAGCAGGUGAUACGCUGCUAUUCAUAAACCCGUUCAUCCGAAAAUUGAAUGCCUCUCUCCAGACGUCACCCCUAAUGGGUAGCUGUACCUGGGCAUGCUCACCCAGCUUUUGGAUGAAACUCUUCCUCCGAGGGUGACAGGGAGUGGAGAAAUGAUGCUGGCCACGGGACAGGCAUGGAGAGCCUGCCCUUCCAACUUGCUUCUGUGAGUGCUCGUCUGGGGAUCCCUGCAGCACCUCCGACUCACCACGUCCAGGACUCAAUGCACCACCUGCGUCUCCUGUGUUCUCCAGUGCUGAAAACGGCAUCACCAUCCUAACACCCAAGCUUCUCAGUCAUUUUUGAAUCAUCUUCUUCUCUGCAGCCCAUACUUAAUGAACUCUUCAGUCUUGCUGAUUUUAAGGUGCCAACUUCUCAGGCUUUUUCCUCCUCUCCAUUAUCCUGGUGCAAACCCUUGAGAAUGGCCCUUGAGCCCCUGACCUAAGCCCUAGAAAUAGUGCCAUGAGCAAACAUCUACACUCGUUUCUUUCAAAAGACCUUUGCUAAGCCAUGGCUAACAUUUUCAUUUCCGUCAUACCUGGACUGCUGUCGCUGGUCUCUACAACCAAGAGCGCUCUGCACACACUGUUGUUCUGACUCUCUCAAUCACUCCAAAUAUAUAAAAGACUCACUUCCACCCAGACACAUCCCCCCCAUUUGAUACAGUUUGGACCUAUUUCCCUGCCCAAAUAUCACGUCGAAUUGUGGUCCCCAGUGUUGGAGGUGGGGCCUGGUGGGAGGUGAUUGGAUCAUGGCUGCGGAUUUCCCCCUCAGUACUGUCCUCACGAUAGUGUAUGAGUUCAUCUGAGAUCUGGUCAUUUAAUAGUGCGUAGUAUCUGCUCCCUAAUCUCGCUCCUGCUCCAACCAUGUAAGACGGGCCUGCUUCUCCUUCGCCUUUUGCCACGAUUGUAAGUUUCCUGAGGCAGAAGCCCAGGAGCAGAAGCCGCUAUGCUUCCUGUACAGCCUGCAGAACCAUGAGCUCAUCAAACCUUGUUUCUUUAUAAAUUACACAGUCUCAGGUAUUUCCUUACAACUGUGUGAGAAUGCACUAAUACACCCCUCAGGAAGUUUCCCUGUCCUCUAGAAGUGUAACUAUAUCUCAGCUUGGGAGGGCAAGCAGGGAUUAAGGUCCUAUAGGCCCCAAAUGCCCAUAGGCAUGAAUAGCUUUUCUUCCAGCAUUGGAAUAGAUGCAGCAGCUGAAGUGGCUCGCUUCUGUUAGGGCGUGGUUGCACUGGAGGGCCAUGACGUAAUUACUACACUUCAGAGGCAGGUGAAGAGCUGAAACUGACAGAGGAAUGCAGGAUUCUUAUGUUUGAUCUCAUGGUCUCUCCAGAGUGUGGACCCAAGAGUAGCGUGGAAGGUGGAGUGGACAGAAGGGGGCCUGGCCUGCUCUCUGGGCCUGGUUGGAUUUGAAUAAAUUAC
Molecule: long non-coding RNA, 1704 nt
Organism: Homo sapiens (human)
Lineage: Eukaryota; Metazoa; Chordata; Mammalia; Primates; Hominidae
Source: Ensembl